ACUUAUUCUCAGGGCGGGGUGAAAAUCCCCACCGGCGGUAUCUCAGUUUUACUGAGGAGCCCGCGAGCGCUCUUCUAUAGGAAGAGGUCAGCAGAACUGGUGAGAAGCCAGUGCCGACGGUAUAGUCCGGAUGAAAGAGAGUAAGG
This 146-nucleotide non-coding RNA is filed under the name Pelosinus sp. UFO1. RNAcentral describes it as "FMN riboswitch aptamer (RFN element)". It matches the Rfam family "FMN riboswitch aptamer (RFN element)". From Rfam's summary of the family: The RFN element is a highly conserved domain that is found frequently in the 5'-untranslated regions of prokaryotic mRNAs that encode for flavin mononucleotide (FMN) biosynthesis and transport proteins. This element is a metabolite-dependent riboswitch that directly binds FMN in the absence of proteins. The record is from Rfam by way of RNAcentral. RNAcentral also lists the same sequence under 1 other name. Lineage: Bacteria; Bacillati; Bacillota; Negativicutes; Selenomonadales; Sporomusaceae.